AUAUCAAUAAGCGGAGGAAGAGAAACAAACAUGGAUUCCCCUAGUAGCGGCGAGCGAAGCGGGAAGAGCCCAGAUUUGAAAGCUCUACUAUGUAGCGCAUUGUAAGCUGGAGACGUACCUCCUGUAAUGGUACCAUGCCCAAGUCUGCUGGAAAGCAGCAUCAGAGAGGGUGAGAAUCCCGUGCUUGGUGUGGUUGCUGUUGCUUUGUGGGGUGCGCUCGACGAGUCGCGUUGUUUGGGAAUGCAGCGCAAAAUGGGUGGUAAACGCCAUCUAAGGCUAAAUAACGGGGAGAGACCGAUAGCGAACAAGUACCGUGAGGGAAAGAUGAAAAGAACUUUGGAAAGAGAGUGAAAGAGUACGUGAAAUUGCCAAAAGGGAAGCGCUGGCUGUCAGUACCGUAGCACUUGGCGUACACCUAGUUUCUGCUGGGCUAUGCGUUUUGUGUGGGGUCUGCGUUGGUGGGUUGUGUAGGAGAAGGCUGUGAGGAAUGUGGCUCUUUCGGGAGUGUUAUAGCCUCGCAGUGGAUGCUUCGCGACCGACUGGUGCAGGCUUAAUGGCCGUCAGCGACCCGUCUUGAAACACGGACCAAGGAGUCUAACA
RNAcentral lists this ribosomal RNA (600 nucleotides) under Moniliella sp. I-396/2. RNAcentral describes it as "eukaryotic LSU rRNA". It matches the Rfam family "Eukaryotic large subunit ribosomal RNA", at positions 40 to 680 of the family's 3401-position model. Lineage: Eukaryota; Fungi; Basidiomycota; Moniliellomycetes; Moniliellales; Moniliellaceae. The record is from RNAcentral.